This 406-nucleotide ribosomal RNA is filed under the name uncultured bacterium. RNAcentral describes it as "partial 16S ribosomal RNA". It matches the Rfam family "Bacterial small subunit ribosomal RNA", at positions 30 to 526 of the family's 1533-position model. The record is from RNAcentral.
AUCGAACGCUGGCGGCAGGCCUAACACAUGCAAGUCGAACGCGUGGCGGACGGGUGAGUAAUGUCUGGGAAACUGCCUUAUGCAGGGGACUAACUACUGGAACCGGUAGCUAAUACCGCAUACCUUCCGCUGAGCCCAGAGGGGAUUAGCUAGUUGGUGGGGUAAUGGCUCACCUCGGCGACGAUCCAUAGCUGGCAUGAGAGGAUGACCAGCAACACUGGAACUGAGACACGGUCCAGACUCCUACGGGAGGCAGAAGUGGGGAAUAUUGCACAAUGGGCGCAAGCCUGAUGCAGCCAUGCCGCGUGUAUGAAGAAGGUCUUCGGGUUGUAAAGUACUUUCAGCGGGGAGGCGUUACCCGAAGAGGAAGCACCGGCUAACUACGUGCCAGCAGCCGCGGUAAUAC